UACGUAGGGCGCAAGCGUUGUCCGGAAUUAUUGGGCGUAAAGCGCGUGUAGGCGGUCCGGUAAGUCCGCUGUGAAAGUCGGGGGCUCAACCCUCGAAUGCCGGUGGAUACUGUCGGGCUAGAGUGCGGAAGAGGCGAGUGGAAUUCCUGGUGUAGCGGUGAAAUGCGCAGAUAUCAGGAGGAAUACCGGUGGUGUAGACGGCUCUGUGGACCGCCACUGACGCUGAGACACGAAAGCGUGGGUAGCAAACAGG
This 253-nucleotide ribosomal RNA is filed under the name uncultured bacterium. RNAcentral's name for it is "partial 16S ribosomal RNA". It matches the Rfam family "Bacterial small subunit ribosomal RNA", at positions 524 to 776 of the family's 1533-position model. The record is from RNAcentral.